AUGUGAAAUGAGUUAUUUAAAAAUCAAAUUAGUGCAGUCCCAAUCAUAUGAUACUCUGUAAUGUGUAGAGAAAAUUCAAAAUUCAAGUAUAUGCAUUUUGUUUGUAAGGAAGCGAAUGAAAAUGAAAUAAAAUGUGAAAAUUGUUUCUUAUAUCCCCUAA
Molecule: long non-coding RNA, 160 nt
Organism: Stegodyphus dumicola
Lineage: Eukaryota; Metazoa; Arthropoda; Arachnida; Araneae; Eresidae
Source: RefSeq, a predicted model, not a curated record